CAGGUACAAGAAAAAAACCUGUUGAGCUGUGCCUUUUCCUGCCACUGUCACACCCUCUGGCCUGAUGUGGACUGUGCCUGCUGCGAGCCAGGCAGCAACUGAAAAGCAUCAGGGAAUCACAUUACAUUAGAUUCUUCCAGCUUCAAGUAAUUAACUCAGCGCAUUUUAUAGAACUGGGAUGAUUUUGAAGAAACUCCAAUGGAAUAUAUAGACAAUUCCCUGGCAAUCAAGGAAAACUAUGCACAGGAAGGAUACAAGAAAAGGAGCAAAUCCAAGAAGAAAAAGAAAUGUUCAAGUAUGACUGAAGUGGUUUAGAAUACUACCCAGGUCCACUGUUGGAAACACUUCUGAAAGAGGCAGCUCUGGAAGCUGGUCACCUGAAGACAGUGAGAAAACGGAUGUGAGAAAGGAAGGACCUGAUCAUCCAUCAGACGGAAUCCAGACGUGACAAUUAGAGUUAAUGAACCACGACCCAUGAAGCUGCCUCAGCACCUUUUUACAACCCCACUUCAUGGCCUUAAUAAAACUACCAGGGCUUAUUUUACAGAGCACAUCUGCUCUAAAUUCUCAAAGGAGAAACUUUGCAUUCAGAAGUUAUGUUUGGUUUCUUCACCACUUUUCAGUCAUGUAUAAAGAAUAUUUAACAGCUGUGUCUUUACUUUUCUAUCUGUUCAGUCAACAGAACAUAGGAAGAUAAUGGGUUUUUGUAUAAUAAGACUGCAUUGUUAUAACAGUUAUUUAGUUUACAUUAACAUAAUAAGCUGCUGAGGAUGACUGAAAAGUACCAGGCAAUUUUUUUUAUUUCUCCAGUGUAAUGGCAUCUAUAUGCAAGUAUUACCUUUGAUUUCAGAUAUUUAGAAAUAGUGUGCUCUACAAAAAUCAGGUUGAUUUGCUGCUUUUCAAAUAUGCCUUGGUACUGAAGUCUUCAAUUUCUUCACAGAGCAGGUAUGGCUAAGCAAUACCUCUUCCUUCCCUAAGUCCAGAAGAUCUGCUGAACUUCUAAGCCUGAGGUUGAAACUGGUCUUUCUUGCCUUACAGACAAAGGAUUUCUGCAGUUAUCCAGUUUUUGGAUCCUACCCAUUUCCUUAGGUCUCGACUACCAAUUCCAUACCCACACUGCUUCUUCUGUCCAGAAGCAAAAAGAAGCCAAGGGGAAGGACAAAGUAGCUCAUAGAUUAAUUGUUAGAAGACUCCCUUUUGCAUAGUAGGAGAUGACUGGAAGAGCUCUGGUAUGGACUUUAAGGUAUAAUACAUACAGGGAAGAAGUUAUUUUGUUCCUCACCAUAGUAACAUGAAUGAAAAUAUGACAAAAUUGACCCUGUUGUAUCACAAAGCUUCAGAUGGCAGUUGUUGAGAAGCCCAAUUAUGAUGUAUUGCUUUCAGAUUGUCAGAGUUUUUCAGCAAAGUAAAGAGAAUACCUUCUUUUGAUAUUGACCACUAAUUUAAAAAUUAAUCAAUCUGCAUAUUAAUCCACGACUGAAUCAAUGCUAGAGUCAUUUGUCGGAAGGAUAGUAUAUUUUGUCAUGACAUUAUUGGUCAGCCAAGUCUGAUAUGUAUACAGUGCUAGCACAAAAAUUAUUUUCCCAAAACAAAUCAAUUCCCUAUGAAAACUGAUAUCUAAAUUACCAUUGCUUUUUGGUAAUGGUAGACAAUUCCAGGAACACAUGUCCAGUUUGGCCCUUGUCAAAGCCUCCUACAGUAAAAUAUAUAAUUCUUCUCUUUUUAUAAUAAGCAGAAAAUAUCAACACGUUCAGGAGACAUUCUGCUUUGUUUGUAGGAACUCAGUGGGAGCCUGUGCCUCAUUUAGACUUUGCCACUGAGUUCUUGCAGCUUGGUUCAGAAACCUGCAAAGGCAAGAUAGUAAGUGCAGAGCAAGAGCUCGGGAGUGAUGUCUCAUGGCCAGCUGCAUUCCAAUUCCCUCAGUGAGUUAAAAAGUGAUUGGUCACAUCCUGCUUCUGGGGAAGAAAAAGACCCUCAGCAGCCAGUACCUGUUUAACUCUGAACUGAAAGAAAACCACCAUUCAGAAGAGUCCAGUUUGGUCUUGCACAUGGAAAUGUCUGUGGUGCAGGACUUCAUUGGGAGCUGUUGUCUUUCAAGGGAAGUGGCUCACAGAGCUUUGUAUUAAAUUUUUUUUUCUAUACUUUAAAUAACAGAUUAAAUAAUAAACCACUUAAUUUUAUUCUAGCAAAGUUUUCUCAAAUAAAAUUAGAAAAAAGUCUUACAUUGUUUUAAAUGGCUUGGUAAUAAAAAUCCCUGAAACUGUUACUCUUAGUGUACAUACUAUUGAUAAGACAAGUUCAGGUUUAUCUUCUUUCCUUGUUUGUUUGGUUUUUGUUUUAACCUUCCUAGAGCUCAUUAAAUGUAUUGAAAUCACAGUCAAACUAGCGAAAAAAUAAUAUGUAAAGCUUAAAAAGUAGCAAAAUUUAAAAAUUAUUGAAAUAGUGUUUGCUACAAAUACCUUCUGCCUUGCUUAAACAUCAAAUUAUUUUUGCAAAUUUGUGUUCAGAGAACAUAUACAACAUAGCAAAUAAACCACCCACAGACUGAAUCAUGUUUUAAAUGCCCACUACUUUAAUAAUUUCCUUCAAGCCAAUUCUACUUCAGUAACUAAAGAACAUAUAACAUAACAGAAGAAAUAAUUGGUUUUAACUUCAAGCGUCAUAUAAAAACAUUUAAUGGAAGAUCUCUAUGUAAACAAAGCUUUCUAUGAGAAAAUGCUCUACUAGACAUUUGUGGUUUCAUGAGCUGUUUACAAGUCAUUCUAUUCUAACACUUUUUAUUUAAAAGUAACAGGAAAUUGUAUUUCAUCAUAAACUUUGUUUCUUUGGGGUUUAAUUAAUUUAAUUAUUUUUAAAUUAUUGUUUUGAUGACAUUUAAUAUACAAAGCAGUCAUUUUGAUUGAAAAGAAAACACUGUUCCUAAUCCAAUAUUCUUGUCCAAAAUAACUCAUGUUUAGAGGGAGACACAGCAAGGAAAAAAAAUAUUAGAUGUUGACUCAAAGAUAUGAGAGCAUUUAACUCAGAAUUGUGGCUUGGAAGAGCCAGAUCAGGCAUGAACAUUCAGUCUUUCUUGGCAGUUACAGUCCAAGUUUUUGUAUACAUCGUAACCAAAACUAAAGCGAACUUUCCAGUUUCUUAAUUAAUAGAAGAUAUACAGAACCAACCUCCCAGCACAGUACGUAUAUUGAAAAAUGUCAUGUGUACUAAUUAAAUUACAGUAUUAAAAAAAAAUAAAACAUCUAUGUGUACCUUCUCAAUCUA
Molecule: long non-coding RNA, 3261 nt
Organism: Pseudopipra pipra
Lineage: Eukaryota; Metazoa; Chordata; Aves; Passeriformes; Pipridae
Exons: 2
Source: RefSeq, a predicted model, not a curated record